UUCGGACUGUAGGCUGCGACUCGCCUACACGAAGUCGGAAUCGCUAGUAAUCGCGGAUCAGCAUGCCGCGGUGAAUACGUUCCCGGGCCUUGUACAUACCGCCCGUCACACCAUGGGAGUUUGUAACGCCCAAAGUCGGUGGCCUAACCUUUAUGGAGGGAGCCGCCUAAGGCGGGACAGAUGACUGGGGUGAAGUCGUAACAAGGUACC
This 210-nucleotide ribosomal RNA is filed under the name uncultured bacterium. Its description in RNAcentral is "partial 16S ribosomal RNA". It matches the Rfam family "Bacterial small subunit ribosomal RNA", at positions 1292 to 1500 of the family's 1533-position model. The record is from RNAcentral.